Molecule: ribosomal RNA, 119 nt
Filed under: uncultured bacterium
Lineage: Bacteria
Description: partial 16S ribosomal RNA
Rfam family: Bacterial small subunit ribosomal RNA
Source: RNAcentral
UAGCCAUGCCGCGUGAGCGAUGAAGGCCUUAGGGUUGUAAAGCUCUUUCGUGGGGGAAGAUAAUGACUGUACCCCAAGAAGAAGCCCCGGCUAACUCCGUGCCAGCAGCCGCGGUAAUA